CAGUCGCCGCGGGAAUACGUAGGGUGCAAGCGUUAUCCGGAAUUAUUGGGCGUAAAGAGCUCGUAGGCGGUUUGUCGCGUCUGCUGUGAAAACUGGAGGCUCAACCUCCAGCCUGCAGUGGGUACGGGCAGACUAGAGUGCGGUAGGGGAGAUUGGAAUUCCUGGUGUAGCGGUGGAAUGCGCAGAUAUCAGGAGGAACACCGAUGGCGAAGGCAGAUCUCUGGGCCGUAACUGACGCUGAGGAGCGAAAGCGUGGGGAGCGAACAGGAUUAGAGACCCCUGUAGUCCCUGUCUCUUAUAC
RNAcentral lists this ribosomal RNA (301 nucleotides) under uncultured bacterium. RNAcentral describes it as "partial 16S ribosomal RNA". It matches the Rfam family "Bacterial small subunit ribosomal RNA", at positions 509 to 807 of the family's 1533-position model. The record is from RNAcentral.